This 245-nucleotide ribosomal RNA is filed under the name uncultured Eubacteriales bacterium. Its description in RNAcentral is "uncultured Clostridiales bacterium partial 16S ribosomal RNA". It matches the Rfam family "Bacterial small subunit ribosomal RNA", at positions 524 to 769 of the family's 1533-position model. Lineage: Bacteria; Bacillati; Bacillota; Clostridia; Eubacteriales. The record is from RNAcentral.
UACGUAGGGGGCGAGCGUUAUCCGGAUUUAUUGGGCGUAAAGCGUGCGUAGGCGGUUUAUUAAGUCUGAAAUUAAAGCCUGAGGCUUAACCUCAGUUCGUUUCAGAUACUGGUAGGCUAGAGUAUGGUAGAGGCAAAUGGAAUUCCUAGUGUAGCGGUGAAAUGCGUAGAUAUUAGGAGGAACACCAGUGGCGAAGGCGAUUUGCUGGGCCAUCACUGACGCUGAGGUACGAAAGCGUGGGUAGC